Molecule: ribosomal RNA, 698 nt
Filed under: Staphylococcus chromogenes
Lineage: Bacteria; Bacillati; Bacillota; Bacilli; Caryophanales; Staphylococcaceae
Description: bacterial SSU rRNA
Rfam family: Bacterial small subunit ribosomal RNA
Source: RNAcentral
UCAGGAUGAACGCUGGCGGCGUGCCUAAUACAUGCAAGUCGAGCGAACUGACGAGGAGCUUGCUCCUUUGACGUUAGCGGCGGACGGGUGAGUAACACGUGGGUAACCUACCUAUAAGACUGGAAUAACUCCGGGAAACCGGGGCUAAUGCCGGAUAACAUAUCGAACCGCAUGGUUCGAUAGUGAAAGACGGUCUUGCUGUCACUUAUAGAUGGACCCGCGCCGUAUUAGCUAGUUGGUGAGGUAACGGCUCACCAAGGCAACGAUACGUAGCCGACCUGAGAGGGUGAUCGGCCACACUGGAACUGAGACACGGUCCAGACUCCUACGGGAGGCAGCAGUAGGGAAUCUUCCGCAAUGGGCGAAAGCCUGACGGAGCAACGCCGCGUGAGUGAUGAAGGUCUUCGGAUCGUAAAGCUCUGUUGUUAGGGAAGAACAAAUGUGUAAGUAACUGUGCACAUCUUGACGGUACCUAACCAGAAAGCCACGGCUAACUACGUGCCAGCAGCCGCGGUAAUACGUAGGUGGCAAGCGUUAUCCGGAAUUAUUGGGCGUAAAGCGCGCGUAGGCGGUUUUUUAAGUCUGAUGUGAAAGCCCACGGCUCAACCGUGGAGGGUCAUUGGAAACUGGAAAACUUGAGUGCAGAAGAGGAAAGUGGAAUUCCAUGUGUAGCGGUGAAAUGCGCAGAGAUAUGGAGG